Long non-coding RNA from Plodia interpunctella (Indianmeal moth), 969 nucleotides. RefSeq lists it as uncharacterized. NCBI's taxonomy places the organism in Eukaryota, Metazoa, Arthropoda, Insecta, Lepidoptera, Pyralidae. The transcript has 4 exons. The record is from RefSeq and is a predicted model, not a curated record.
CUAACGAGCCGGCUGCGUGCUUUGUAUAAAAUUUUGAGAAUUUUACGAAAUGUGUCAGUGAAAAUAUUUCUUAAAAUUGACUGAAUUUAACCGUGAUUUGAUAAGCGCGAAUUCCCCACGGGACCUUUAAUUUUUGGCGCGAUAUCGAUUCCGCACUUAAAGUGAAAUCUUAAUAAGAUUUGUACCACACAUCAAAUUACCGAGCGUGGAUCUUUAUGCCGCAAUAAUACGGAUGAAUUUACAAUGAUGUCGAUGAGCUGCUGACUGUACCUAACUAAAUCCGGAAAAAGUGAGUCGAGGUAACCGCCAUAAAAAAUUCAAAGAUGACAAACGACGGGCCGCUCCCGACAAGUGGCCGACAUCAGUUUGGGAAGCCCUGGAGUUUGUUACAGCCGUUGUGACUGCGGCCCAACAAAAACACUUUGUGAAGUCGAUCAGCCGCGCUUCAUUUCCUGCUGGCCAGCAUUAUCGACACAGAUAAAUAUUUUGCGGGCCACUCCAUAAAUAUCCCUUAAUGGAUUCCACAGAAGGCGCGACGUUUAGGUUGUGAUGGAAUAGACACACAAACAAACAGAGAUGGAAACAAUAAUCGAGGUCCAAAGUUGACACGGAAGUGUUAAAACGCACAGACUGUAUCAAUAUCAACAGAUUAGCCGAGCAGAGCUGCCGAAAUCCGUCAAAAAGGCGGAAAAUACCAAAUGACGGGGAAUUUGUCGAAUCUAGAGUGUGUUCCUCCUGCUUCCUCUAAGUUACAGUUAGAACCCAUUUAGUUAGUUAUUGUGACAGUUCCUUUAAUUCUGAUUACUUGGUUUGGUAAAAUAGACCAAAUAUUCAAAAUAGCAAACAGGAAAGUAGAAUAAUUGUUUUGCAGGAACUCGUCAUUUCUGUCCAAUUCUUAAAAAAAUCUUUUUAGCUACCUGACAUCAAGGGAAGCGGUAUAGAUAGACAUUCAAAUUUGUUCUCUAUACA